UACGUAGGGUGCGAGCGUUGUCCGGAAUUAUUGGGCGUAAAGAGCUUGUAGGCGGUUUGUCGCGUCUGCCGUGAAAAUCCGGGGCUCAACCCCGGACUUGCGGUGGGUACGGGCAGACUAGAGUGUGGUAGGGGAGACUGGAAUUCCUGGUGUAGCGGUGAAAUGCGCAGAUAUCAGGAGGAACACCGAUGGCGAAGGCAGGUCUCUGGGCCGAAAUUGACGCUGAGGAGCGAAAGCGUGGGGAGCAAACAGG
Molecule: ribosomal RNA, 253 nt
Filed under: uncultured bacterium
Lineage: Bacteria
Description: partial 16S ribosomal RNA
Rfam family: Bacterial small subunit ribosomal RNA
Source: RNAcentral